UACGUAGGUGGCGAGCGUUGUCCGGAUUUACUGGGCGUAAAGCGCGCGUAGGCGGCCUGUUAAGUUCUGUGUGAAAGGUUUCGGCUCAACCGGAACAGUGCAUGGGAUACUGGCGGGCUUGAGGGCAGCAGAGGUCGGUGGAAUUCCCGGUGGAGUGGUGAAAUGCGUAGAUAUCGGGAGGAACACCAGUGGCGAAGGCGGCCGACUGGGCUGUACCUGACGCUGAGGUGCGAAAGCGUGGGGAGCGAACCGGAUUAGAUACCCGGGUAGUCCACGCCCUAAACGGUGGUGACUAGGUGUGGGGGGUAUCGACCCCCUCCGUGCCGCAGCUAACGCGAUAAGUCACCCGCCUGGGGACUACGGCCGCAAGGUUA
Molecule: ribosomal RNA, 374 nt
Filed under: uncultured prokaryote
Description: bacterial SSU rRNA
Rfam family: Bacterial small subunit ribosomal RNA
Source: RNAcentral